CCUACGGGAGGCAGCAGUGAGGAAUAUUGGUCAAUGGACGAGAGUCUGAACCAGCCAAGCAGCGUGAAGGAAGACGGCACUAUGUGUUGUAAACUUCUUUUGUAAAGGAAUAAAACUAGGUACGUGUCCCCGUCUGCAAGUACUUUACGAAUAAGGAUCGGCUAACUCCGUGCCAGCAGCCGCGGUAAUACGGAGGAUCCGAGCGUUAUCCGGAUUUAUUGGGUUUAAAGGGUGCGUAGACGGCUUGAUAAGUCAGUUGUGAAAGGUUGGGGCUCAACCGUAGAAUUGCAUUUGAUACUGGCGGGCUAGAGUACAGUUGAGGUAGGCGGAAUGCGUGGUGUAGCGGUGAAAUGCUUAGAUAUCACGAAGAACCCCGAUUGCGAAGGCAGCUUACUAACCUGUGACUGACGUUGAGGCACGAAAGUGUGGGUAUCAAACAGGAUUAGAUACCCGGGUAGUC
RNAcentral lists this ribosomal RNA (460 nucleotides) under uncultured bacterium. Its description in RNAcentral is "partial 16S ribosomal RNA". It matches the Rfam family "Bacterial small subunit ribosomal RNA", at positions 338 to 795 of the family's 1533-position model. The record is from RNAcentral.